RNAcentral lists this long non-coding RNA (234 nucleotides) under Gorilla gorilla gorilla (western lowland gorilla). Its description in RNAcentral is "lncRNA (ENSGGOG00000044495.1)". Lineage: Eukaryota; Metazoa; Chordata; Mammalia; Primates; Hominidae. The record is from RNAcentral.
CUUUGGCAGACCUGAAACAUUUCGGAAAGGAAGCUGGUGUUUUGGGGGCAGUGAUGGCUGAAUGCAUGACCUUGUCAUAUACGUAAAACAUCCACAGACUAACUGGAAAAGGACUUCACCUCAGCCAAAGGCCUUCAAGAGGAUCAAUAUUUCCAGGAUGUUGGUAUUAGCAUCCAUUGUUCGCUGGCUAGAUCUUUUCCAACAGAGCAUGUGACUCUCGUCAUUACAGCAGAG